AUUGAACGCUGGCGGCAUGCCUUACACAUGCAAGUCGAACGGCAGCACGGGUGCUUGCACCUGGUGGCGAGUGGCGAACGGGUGAGUAAUACAUCGGAACAUGUCCUGUAGUGGGGGAUAGCCCGGCGAAAGCCGGAUUAAUACCGCAUACGAUCUACGGAUGAAAGCGGGGGACCUUCGGGCCUCGCGCUAUAGGGUUGGCCGAUGGCUGAUUAGCUAGUUGGUGGGGUAAAGGCCUACCAAGGCGACGAUCAGUAGCUGGUCUGAGAGGACGACCAGCCACACUGGGACUGAGACACGGCCCAGACUCCUACGGGAGGCAGCAGUGGGGAAUUUUGGACAAAGGGCGAAAGCCUGAUCCAGCAAUGCCGCGUGUGUGAAGGAGGCCUUCGGGUUGUAAAGCACUUUUGUCCGGAAAGAAAUCCUUGGCCCUAAUACGGUCGGGGGAUGACGGUACCGGAAGAAUAAGCACCAGCUAACUACGUG
This 486-nucleotide ribosomal RNA is filed under the name uncultured bacterium. RNAcentral's name for it is "partial 16S ribosomal RNA". It matches the Rfam family "Bacterial small subunit ribosomal RNA", at positions 30 to 507 of the family's 1533-position model. The record is from RNAcentral.